This 208-nucleotide ribosomal RNA is filed under the name uncultured bacterium. Its description in RNAcentral is "partial 16S ribosomal RNA". It matches the Rfam family "Bacterial small subunit ribosomal RNA", at positions 568 to 774 of the family's 1533-position model. The record is from RNAcentral.
CGCGUAGGCGGCCACCGCAAGUCAGUUGUGAAAGCUCUGGGCUUAACCCAGAAAGGUCAACUGAUACUGCGGGGCUAGAGUGCAGAAGGGGCAACUGGAAUCCUCGGUGUAGCGGUGAAAUGCGUAGAUAUCGAGAGGAACACCUGCGGCGAAGGCGGGUUGCUGGGCUGACACUGACGCUGAUGUGCGAAAGCUAGGGGAGCGAACG